Molecule: long non-coding RNA, 646 nt
Organism: Lagopus leucura (white-tailed ptarmigan)
Lineage: Eukaryota; Metazoa; Chordata; Aves; Galliformes; Phasianidae
Exons: 3
Source: RefSeq, a predicted model, not a curated record
GCAGCCAGGAAGCAGCAUCUGCUUGGUCUGAUUGUGCAGUGCCUGAGCAAGAGUGUGACCCAAGCUGGCUGCACAGGAGUCAUCUGAAUUUCUCUGUUCCUUUACUUCAACUAACUCCACUGGGUGACACUUAAGUUGGUUUCUCAGCCUUUGGAUGUAGGAGGUGACCACUCCCUUUGCUGUGAUGGAAGCACAGCGGUGAUGCAGGCACUCGCUGAGGUCACAGUCGUUGCCGGGGUGGGAGCGUUUGUGCCCCAGGUGGUGAGCAGAGCUGGUGCUCUGGUGAGCGUGGUGCACGCAGACUGAGCUGUUGUGGAGCUUCCUUGAGAGAUCAUCUGUGAGAGCCCGGCUGGAAGCAGCGCUGCGGCGUCUGCGUGAGCUGGGCACAGCUGAGGCCGAGCAGUGACCAGGUUCUUUCCUUCGGGUUGGUUUGCAAAAGGAGAUUUUGGGAAUCGAGGCAGUUGAAGAAAGCCAGUGAAGGCAGCUCUCUCCAAGAGUGGGGGCUGUGCCUGUGGAGAGGAGGCCAGGAACCUGAGCUUCCCCUGAGACGUUCCCCAGCAUGUCUCAGCAGGGAGACAGUUCCCACUCCUGCUUUGCGCGUGGAAAGGUGUGUUGGUGUAAGCCCUGAAGUGAUGUCUGAGAGCGC